This 5346-nucleotide long non-coding RNA is filed under the name Sinocyclocheilus anshuiensis. RNAcentral describes it as "lncRNA (ENSSANG00000050478.1)". Lineage: Eukaryota; Metazoa; Chordata; Actinopteri; Cypriniformes; Cyprinidae. The record is from RNAcentral.
AUGCAGGGAUACACAUGGAGUUCAAAUCAGCAUCCAUCAACAAGAUACCAAGAUCAGCCUCCACCUCAAUACCAAGAACGACUUCCUCCUCAGUACCAAGAAUGGCCUCCACCUCAGUACCAAGAACAAUUCCCACCUAAGUACCAUGCUGUCAGGAAUGAUCAAUCCAAUGCGUUCCAGGUACAGCUCAUCCCCCAACUUCAAACCACAUUACAGACAAGAUAUUCCAAUGGACAACAAGAGGCUGCAAAUCAGUGGAGCACUUGCUCAGGCAGUGCGGACUCUUCUGCUUUUCAACCAAAUUCAGAUGGAUAUAAUUGGUUGAAACGGACAAACCAGAUCAAACCCCAAUACCCAUUUGCAGCCUCCAACACACAGCAGCACUACCCAUCUGACGACCCCAAUGCAUAUAGGUAUCAUGCCCAGUUCAUGCAAUGGCAUGAUUCCUCCCCACAGAACUACAGAAACACAGGUUGUAGCCAAGCUCAAAUGUACCAUGGCAGCUCUGUGGGUAACAGCAGGGGUUGGAGUUUCCACAUUUCCAACAAUGGCAGCUCUUGUUCCAUGAACAAUCAGCAACAACUUCAGCCUCCUAGAAUGGCUCCUCUUCAUCAUCACCAGCAACAACAAGAGUUCUCUAGACAAUAUACAGGCAAAAAACGAAGACGCCACACACAAUACUCUUCUCGGGCCCAUAACAGUGGAGUCUCCCAAAAAAAUCCUAACAAUCAAGCUCAGAGCAGAACUGAGGCCAAUCAUACCUCAUGCAACUCUACGACACCACCUUCUGGAGCACAGAGCAAUGUUUCAUUACCUUCCAGUAUGGUGAACCAAAGUCCUGUUAACCAGAAACAGUCAGAACUGGGGUCAAAUGCAGGUCCAAAUGUAUCUGCGACCCAGUCUCAGAAUAAUCAAAAUGCUGCACAUCAGUCUCAGGGCACAAGCAGUGAGACAUAUAACACUAAUCCGACUUCUCAAAUGACACAGACCAGUGAAGCCCAGCUUCAGCCCCAAUCUAGAACUGAUUUUAACUUGUCAGCUUAUGCUGACUCAAUAAUAUAUAGAUUACUGUGUUCAAAUGACAAUGAACAAGCAAAUAAGCAGCAAUCAGAUGAAAGAAUUACUCAUCAGAACACUCGUCCAGAACAGUCGGAGGUUUGUGCAACCAAAAGGACUGACAAUCACUCAAAGGAACCUUUUUCUGAACCAAGAGAACAGUGUACAGUUGAACCACCCAGUAAAAGAAUGAAGUAUGUUGUGUUUCAGAGAGACUGUCGGAACAAAGAAACAAUAGUGUCCAAAGACAUAAGUAAUUUUGGGGUGCUAUCUGCCCAACCUGGUACCCAUCAGACAAGUAGCAAUGAGAACAGACUUAAAGGAAUGAGCCAACACAACAUACAGUACAGUACGGACGCAGCAGACUGUCUUGAAGUGGUCUUUGCACUACAGAAAGCUGCUCAGCAAACUCACAAGGCCAUUGCCAUCGUUCCACCUAUUUACCAGCAGAUCUCAAACGCUGCACCAAUGGCUGAUACCAGCCCAAAAAAAGCUGACAGUCCACUGUUAAAGAUUGAUUCUGUUUGGUCACUUGUUGAAGAAUCUAACGAACAAAAAACUGUAAAUGACAAGCUGUCUGAAUCCACCUCACAAAUGGCUCAACAGGACAACAAAAGCCUUGAAAAUGCAACUGCAAGCAACAUGGCAGACCCCGAUACAUGCUCUGCUAGCCCAGUUGAAUGUCAAAAUUAUGUGCAGCAAAGUGACUGUGAUUCAGAUGAUCCUUCAUUUGACUUGUCCAGUGUGCCAGUGAUUGAGUACACACUAGAGAAACUGAUGGAGUUAGUGAAGUCUAUAGAGAUGAAAGAGUUAUCGGCCGGAUAUCCUGAGAAAUCUCAGAGCAUUUUAGAAAGGAUCUUAAAACUCUACUGGAAUGGGAAAGCUUCCAAUAUGUUGGAGCCUUUGAAAUCAUUUAGAGAGGCACUGCAAUUAUCCAUAGAAUAUGCAAAGGAUUAUGGGUCUGUGGUAUUUAAAAGCAUCGAAACUGAAAACCUGAAGAAGCUAGCUCAUUGCGACAUUCUCAAACAUGAGACGUAUUCAUGGUCAGAGGAGUUCAGAUCUUCUUGGUUAAAUGUUGAUGGACAGCCAGCUGAUAUUGAAAAGGUGCUUUCAGAACCACUGUUGGAUGACAUAACUGUGUUCAAGGCAACAUCACAGUCCUUUUCAGAUAACGCUGUUGUCACUUCAGCCAGUUUAGGUGUGAAUUCCCUCACAGACAUGCCUGAGGUUUCAUCCAAGGAGAAAAGUGUAAAUCCAGACACGUGCAGUCCAACAGAUCUUUUCAUGCAAAUGGCAGGAAAUGACAGGGGGGAAGUGGCUGCGGAAAACAAUGGGCAUUCAUAUGUAGUGCUCAGAAAAGAAAGUGAGAAAGAGACAUUCAAGAAGCAAGAGGACAUCAAUCAAAACCAAAUUUUUAACAUAGAGCCUUCAGACAUCACACCUUUAGCUGAAAGGUCUACAGAGAGACUUACAGACCUCAGCAAUGCAAAAGAAGUAUUCAGACAAGAUUAUGAGCAAACACCUGAUAAUGUAUCCGAUUCACUUUCUCUGAGUCCUGGAGACAGUGUUUCAGAUGGUGUAAAAAACUCUGUUGUGUCUUUCUCUACUGAGACUCAUUGUAGCUCCAUGGAUACAUGGCAGGUAGAAGAUAUUUCUGAUGAUGAAAAUACAGGCAGUAAAGAGGCUCUGAAUAACUCCUCAGACACCUGGCUGCUAGAAGAUAUUUCUGAUGAUGAAAAUACAGGCAGUAAAGAGGCUCUGAAUAACUCCUCAGACACCUGGCUGCUAGAAGAUAUUUCUGAUGAUGAAAAUACAGGCAGUAAAGAGGCUCUGAAUAACUCCUCAGACACCUGGCUUGUAGAAGAUAUUUCUGAUGAUGAAAAUACAGGCAACAAGGAAGCUCUUAAUAACACCUCAGACACCUGGCUUGUAGAAGAUAUUUCUGAUGAUGAAAAUACAGGCAACAAGGAAGCUCUUAAUAACACCUCAGACACCUGGCUUGUAGAAGAUAUUUCUGAUGAUGAAAAUACAGGCAAUAAAGAGGCUCUGAAUAACUCCUCAGACACCUGGCUUGUAGAGGAUAUUUCUGAUGAUGAAAAUUCUGGAAAUAAGGAUGUUCUUCUUAAUUCCUCAAACACCUGGCAAGUGGAAAACAUCUCUGAUAAUGAGAAUCCAGGCAAUAUGGACACUCCUAGUAACUCCGCAGACAUAUGUGCGGUGGAAAAUGAAUCUACUGAUGAAAAUUCAAGCGAUGAUUCCUUGUUUAUGGGAAUCACGGUGCUAUCAUCUGAAGAUGCUAAAACAUUUUUCCAACAUAUUGAAAAGGAUCCUGAAUGUACCAUCAAAACCAAAUCCCAAUCCAAAUUGGAGAGCCCAGAUCUUGUAGCAUGCUUUGAUGCACCCAGUCAACUUAACCAGGAGUACAACAAAGCACAUACUUGCUCUCGCUGUGGUACCCAAAUAGUGAAAUCCAAUUCCACUAAUGUGACAAAGAUGGACAGUGAUGCAGAUCUUUUCUGCCUCCAGUGUUGGGAACAGGCACCAUUGUUUGAGCUAGAAGAGGAGCCAUGCUCUCCAAUGACAGAUGAGGUCAAUCUUCUGGGCUAUGCUGCUAAAUCAAAUGAACUGGGUCAAAAUGAUAGUCUGCCAUGUCUUAAGUUGGAAGUCAAUGAGCCAAAUGUGGCUUCAACAAAGGAAUUCAUUGCAUAUGAAGGACUGAAAGGACAAAAAAAUGGUUGUCUUUUAACAUCAGACCCGGGGGGAAAUUGUAGUCCACCAUGUCUUAAAAUAGAAGUCAAGGAGCUAACUGUUGCACCAAAUGAUGAAUGCAUUGCGAAUGAAGGACUGGCAGGACAAAAGAGUGUGUUCUUGGUAAAAUCAGAACAGGGACACAAUUGUAGUCUGCCAUCUCUUGAACUGAAAGUCAAGAAGCCAAAUGUUGCUCCACUGGAGGCAUGCAUUGCAGAGGAAGGACUGAUGGGACAAAAAAGAGGCAGUAUGGUAAAAUCAGAACUGGUAAAAAGCUGUUGUCCACCAUCUCUUGAACUAGAAAUCAAGGAGCCAACAGUUGCUUCAACAAUGGAAUGCAUUGCAGAUGAAGGACAAAAAAGUGACAGUAUAAUACAAUCAGAACUGAGACAAAAUUGUAGUCUGCCAUCUCUUGAACUAGAAGUCGAAAUGCCAAAAGUUUCUUCUCCGGAGGAAUGCAUUGCAGAUGAAGGACUGAAAGGACCAAAAAGAGACAGUAUGGCAAAAUCAAAAAUGAGACAAAAUCGUUGUUCACCAUCUCUUGAACUAGAAGUCAAGGAGCCAACUGUUACUUCAGCAGAGGACUGCAUUGCAGAUAAAGGACUGACAAGACAAAAAAUUGACAGUAUGGUCAAAUCGGUGACUGAGACAAUGUCUGAAAAUCAGGGGUCAGCUGAACGGGAGCUAACCAAGAUUCAACCAAAUAAGCAGAAAAAUGAAAAAAAUGAGAAAAUUAGAGUACCCAAGCCCCAAUCUUUCACGCAAUGCAGAAAAUCAUUUUCAAAGAAAACUGCAUUUUCCAAGCAUAAGCUAAAAUCUGGUAGCACUAGUACUGGUUCUGAUGAUUCUGUGCUUUUCGCUCCAGAUAUUAUAGUUAAAAUGAACUGGCCACAAAAGCAAAAUCAACCUCGUGUAUCUGCAAACAAACGCUGUAGUGGUGAGAGUCAGAACUGCAGUAAGGUGAAAAAAUGUAAAGAACACAGGCAAGGAAGACGAGAUAAUCAUGACAGAACCUCAACAAAACAUAGAGAAAACCUACAGAAAGUGACAGAGAAAGUGUCUGGUCAAGCAAGUGACACACCACCCCACGGAUCAGAAAAGAAGCUGGACCUACAUGGUAUUCUGUCAGUGAAUAAAAUGAAAAGAACUGAACCAAAAACAGUGAGAUUUGAUUUAUAUGGGUCCAAAACAGAAAAACAGUACUAUCCCCGAGAGCGGCAUUUUACUGCUCCUGCUACCUUAACAGUCUCUGAUUGCAAAGACUAUACCGAUGUGCUUUCUGCUAAACAAAAAGUUCACAACCAAUGGAGUAGCACCUUUAUACCUAAAACAAAGAAGACUUGUCCUCCCAGGUCACCACAGGAGAGUGGACCACAGAAGAAAAAAACACAGAAACCUCAGGAUCUCUUAAAGUCAAAUAUGAGUGCAUUAAGAAAUCAUUUGACUCACAGAGCCAAGCUAUUAUCCAGUAGUGACAUAGAGACAAGUCACUUGAGAAAACCAUAUUUUCAUCAAAAGCUUACGAAAACACUAAGCAGCUAA